This 3226-nucleotide unclassified non-coding RNA is filed under the name Hevea brasiliensis (rubber tree). Lineage: Eukaryota; Viridiplantae; Streptophyta; Magnoliopsida; Malpighiales; Euphorbiaceae. The record is from RNAcentral.
UUUCUCUCUCUCUCUCUCUCUGUCUAAAUUUUGCUCACAAAAGGGUCUCUCCUUCCCUUGUUGUACUAAACUUCUAGCUUCACUACUCCAUAUAUCCCUCUAACCGCCACCCACCUCUUUCUCUCGAUACUCAAAAGCAAGAUUAUUAAACCUUUUUACCCAAAACAAGAACAACCCAACAACAGUUUCUUGAUUUUCUUCUGUGUCAAACACAAAGGUCGAACAUGUCUGGACCUUCUGCUUCUGCUACUACUACUACUCUUUGGUUGGCCUCUUACACGAAACUUCAUUUCUUUACUCGUGUCAGGCGUUUCUUGCAAUCCAAAGCUGCACAGAAGAAUAAGCCAAGAACCAAAGUGAUGAUCGUUAAUAAAGAAGUACAAAUAAAAGUAACUAUGGAUGGAGAAACUGAAGAUGAUUCUUUGUUAUUACAAAGAUCAGUGAAGAAACUUCACUUUGGAAGCUGGGAAGAGAAGGAGAUGGCAGCUAAGGAAAUUGGGAAAUUAGCUAAAGAAAAAGUCAAGACAAGAAAGUUGAUGGCUGAACUCGGUGUUAUUCCGGCCUUAGUAGAGUUGGUGGCUUCGGAGGUGACUGCUCGCCGGCAAGUAGCCGUCAAGGCUUUGAUUGAGCUUGCUAAUGGAACUUACACGUAAGUUUUGGUUGUAGAAUUUAUUAGUUAAUUACAAGAUAUUCUUCAAAGUUAUUUUCUUCUUUAUUUAUUUUGCUUCCAGAUUCACAUUGGCAUGCAUAUUAGUAAGUGAAAAAGUGUCAAUUAGAAUUGUCAAUAUGUUAAUGGGGAUUUUUUAAUUUUUCAAGGAAAAGAACGCCAAAGUCAGGUUGGAGAUAUUUAUUGAAUUAAUAGGAUGGUUUUUCAACCAAGUUUGAAAUUGUGGAGUUUGAUUUUUGGCACUUUCUGGUUUUUGAUGUGUCACUCAACUAACAAUAAAUUUGUUAGAGUAGGCAAAUAGAGAAACAGGAUAAAGCUUAAAAUCAAAUCUAUUCACGAGCAAGUUGAUUGAGUUCAAGAAAAUGAGUUUUCUUUUUUGCCAUUAAGAAGUUGGAUAUCACUUUGUUAGUAUUUAGUCCUUAAAAAACUUUUCCCCCAACUUUAUUUGGAAAGCAUUAAGAACUGAUUUGGGUGGAGCCGUUACGGGCAUUGGCACCAUGUGACCUUUAAGGAAUAAAGAGGGGCAAGGUAGUCAGAAGUCACAUGGUAGUUGGUGUUACAGGAUUCUGGAGUCUGGGACCAGAUUCCCACCUAUUUUUCUCACCUAUUGUGAUGCAUUGAUGACUUUCUGCUACAAGCAGUAGGACAUGUACUAUAGUCAGAACAAAAGCUUCUAGCUGUGGGGUAAUUUUAUUGGUUUCCAAUUUGUUUAUUCUCAUUUGAAUGGCUAUCAUUCUACAAGUGGGGCUUAUGCCUUCUCCGUCAGGAACCUGCUGCGGUGUCAGAUUUUUUUUGGCAUUCAUGAUUGUUUCCUUGUCAUGCAAUUGAUUCUCCAUCUUAUAUCAAGAAAACAGCAUAGAAAAAUCACAAUUCUUUAAUUAUUACCGCCAUAAUCUACCUAUUUCAUUAAAAUCAUGUGAAACUAAUUAAGAAUAAUGCCCAUGGAUUAGGAGACCACAAGGAGUGCUUAAUUACUCUCCUCUAAGUUUUAUGGUGUAGGGAAGCUUGGAUGGGACAAUGAUGUUAAUGAAUCGACAUUGUUGUCUUUAAAUAAGAUAAAUUAAUCACAAGUUAUAAGAUUUUAAUAUAAUUUAUCAGAUUCCCUAUGAUCUCUCAGCAAUAAACAAAUUCAUUCUCUUGACCUUCACCUUUCAACAUAGAUCUAAAUGUUGGAAUCUCAUUGACUUUCUUUGCCAUAUAAUUUUAUUGUUUAAUAGUUUGGUUCGUUGGUUGGUUAGUUUGGUGUGCAUAAUGCUUUUUAUAAUUUGAUGGGUAGACCUAAGAAGAACUGGCAAGGAACUUUCUGGUUUUCGUAGCUGCCAUUAGUUUUAUAAGUUAUAAUUGACUUCGAUUAUGGAUUAAUUAUCAAGUUAGAUAGAUGUUGAGAUAUGUUAUGCUUCUCUCGUUAAUUUUAUUAAUCUGUGUUGGGUUUUUCUUCAGGAACAAGGCUCUCAUGGUGGAAGCAGGAAUAUUCUCAAAACUGCCCAAGAACGAAGAUGUUUCAGAGGAUUUAAUAAUGCAUGAUUUUGCAGAAUUGAUCUUAUCAUUAUCUUCUUUGGCAAAUACCCAAUUCCAUCUUGCCUCAUCGGAAGUUUUGCCAUUUCUAGUUGGAAUUCUUGAAUCAAGCUCAAGUGUAGAGAACAAAGAGUCAUGUUUAGGCACUUUAUACAACCUCUCAGCUGUGUUGGAAAAUGCAGGACCCCUGAUCUCUAAUGGGGUAGUUCAAACUCUCCUGGGCAUAAUAUCAGUAAAAGAACUCUCAGAAAAAGCCCUUGCAACUCUAGGGCAUUUAGUUGUGACCUUAAUGGGAAAGAAAGCAAUGGAAAAUAAUUCAAUGGUGCCAGAGAACUUGAUAGAGAUAUUGACAUGGGAGGAAAAACCCAAAUGCCAAGAAUUAUCUGUUUAUAUUCUGAUGAUUCUAGCUUACCAGAGUUCAUCCCAGCGCGAAAAAAUGGCUAAAUCUGGAAUUGUCCCUGUACUUCUUGAAGUUGCACUGCUGGGAAGUCCUUUAGCUCAAAAGAGAGCCCUUAAACUUCUGCAAUGGUUCAAAGAUGAGAGGCAAGCAAGGAUGGGGCCACAUUCUGGGCCUCAAACAGGAAGGUUAGCAAUUGGUUCUCCUAUAAAUCCAAGAGAGACUCAAGAAGGAAAGAAAAUGAUGAAAAAUUUGGUGAAGCAAAGUUUGCAUAAGAAUAUGGAGAUGAUUACAAGGAGAGCCAAUGCUUCAGGGGAGUCUUCAAAGCUCAAAUCCUUGGUUAUCAGCACAAGUUCUAAGAGCCUGCCUUAUUAAAGAUUUUAUACACAGUUGAGCAAUUUUCAAGCUUUUCUUUUAGGAAUGAAUUUUUUUCAGCAAUGGCAUGCAUGUGGGUAUUUGUUGAUUACAGGGAGUGUAGUUGUUCACUUGUUCUUGUAGGAAAGAAUUGAACUCCUUGUUGAGAGCCAGAGUUGAAUGCAUUUCUUGUGCAGAAGCAGAAUAGCUAAUGACAAUUGUACAUGUUGACCAAUAAAAAAUUCUAUAAUUUCCUAUUUUGUAUGGUUUGAAAAAUCCAACCCAUGUUGAAU